AGUGGUUAAGAGCUCGGCUGCUAACCAAAAGGUCGGUGGUUCAAAUCCACCAGCCACUC
RNAcentral lists this transfer RNA (59 nucleotides) under Loxodonta africana (African savanna elephant). It matches the Rfam family "tRNA". From Rfam's summary of the family: Transfer RNA (tRNA) molecules are approximately 80 nucleotides in length. Their secondary structure includes four short double-helical elements and three loops (D, anti-codon, and T loops). Further hydrogen bonds mediate the characteristic L-shaped molecular structure. tRNAs have two regions of fundamental functional importance: the anti-codon, which is responsible for specific mRNA codon recognition, and the 3' end, to which the tRNAs corresponding amino acid is attached (by aminoacyl-tRNA synthetases). tRNAs cope with the degeneracy of the genetic code in two manners: having more than one tRNA (with a specific anti-codon) for a particular amino acid; and 'wobble' base-pairing, i.e. permitting non-standard base-pairing at the 3rd anti-codon position. Lineage: Eukaryota; Metazoa; Chordata; Mammalia; Proboscidea; Elephantidae. The record is from Rfam by way of RNAcentral.